This 305-nucleotide ribosomal RNA is filed under the name uncultured bacterium. Its description in RNAcentral is "partial 16S ribosomal RNA". It matches the Rfam family "Bacterial small subunit ribosomal RNA", at positions 506 to 808 of the family's 1533-position model. The record is from RNAcentral.
ACAGCAGUAGCCGCGGGAAAACGUAGGGUGCGAGCGUUAAUCGGAAUUACUGGGCGUAAAGCGGGCGCAGACGGUUACUUAAGCAGGAUGUGAAAUCCCCGGGCUCAACCUGGGAACUGCGUUCUGAACUGGGUGACUAGAGUGUGUCAGAGGGAGGUAGAAUUCCACGUGUAGCAGUGAAAUGCGUAGAGAUGUGGAGGAAUACCGAUGGCGAAGGCAGCCUCCUGGGAUAACACUGACGUUCAUGCCCGAAAGCGUGGGUAGCAAACAGGAUUAGAUACCCCCAGUAGUCCCUGUCUCUUAUA